CUUUUAAAGAUCAAGUAAAUUAUAGCAUUCUGAUAUUUUUUGUAUACGGCAAAAGGCUAAAAUGUGGAUUUGAGACCUAAAUGGUAGAGUAAUGAAAGGAUAAAUGCAGUGAUUGACACUGGUACAGCAAAUUGAGAUAACUGUUGUCAUUUGAGUAAGGGUCUAAAUGUACAAAACAUGCUUGGCAAAGUUUGGGUGACAUCUCUAUAAUUCCAUUUCCCUUUUGUCAUGUUAUAUCAGAUCAAAAGCGAGGUCAAAGCAGAUGCCACACAGAACAACACUUAUAUUGCCAAGAAGAGCCUAUGACUGUGAUUCAAGUUAACAUAUAAAUCCACCUGGAGAAAUUAUGGGAACUUUAUAGAAGAUGAAGGAGGUAGAGAUGUGUACAUAAUUGGAGGAAACAGAUGUAAGACUCCUGUCCUUUUCCCUUAGAAAGAACUGCUUGGGACACAAAAGAUAGAGCAAGUAGUAAGUGGUAGCUGAGGUUGUCUCAUUCCUCUUCUAAAACAGCCAAAAUGAAUACUAUCAGAAGCGCAUCAUUUUUUGCCAAGCUUUCAGAGCUCUGAAACCAAUCUCUAGAAGUACAUCUACACUGUAGAAUUAAUGCAGCUUGACACCACUUUAACAACUAUGGAAUCGGUUGUAGUUCAGUAGGGUAUAAGCACUAUUGUAUUUCACUGCAUAAUAGUCACAAUUUUAGCCCCUUUUUGUAAAAAAAAAGGGUGUGCGACUAUUACAUGAUAAAAAAUAUUGGAUGCAUAGACAAGUAAAGCGGCGCUUCAUUCACUCCCUCACUCAUUCAUCCAUGUGCCUGCUCUCCUUUCAGGCACAGUACUUCAUGUGGCUGAGUCUAAAAGCAAAGAAGGCAACAUAAACAAGGCAAAGUCAGUCUCGACUCAGAAACAAAGAAAGAAAGGUAACAAGGCAAGGUCCACUCAGGAGUAGCAGCUCAGUGCGGCUUGCAUGGAACUAGGAACCUGGCUCAGUUUCCAAACAGGAGACGAGGCUGGGAGCUGGAAACUGGAACCUCUUCUGAGGAAAGG
RNAcentral lists this long non-coding RNA (1043 nucleotides) under Anolis carolinensis (green anole). RNAcentral describes it as "lncRNA (ENSACAG00000043943.1)". Lineage: Eukaryota; Metazoa; Chordata; Lepidosauria; Squamata; Anolidae. The record is from RNAcentral.